CCCUUAGAUGUUCUGGGCCGCACGCGGGCUACACUGAUGCAUUCAACGAGUUUCUUCCUGGUCCGAGAGGAAUGGGUAACCUUUUGAAAGUGCAUCGUGAUAGGGAUAGACUAUUGCAAUUAUUGGUCUUCAACGAGGAAUUCCUAGUAGACGUAGUUCAUCAGACUGCAUCGAUUACGUCCCUGCCCUUUGUACACACCGCCCGUCGCUCCUACCGAUUGAAUGCUCAGGUGAGCCAUUCGGACUUUCAUCAUGCUGGUUUCCAGUUUUGAUGAAGGAAAGUCUUGCGAACCUUAUCAUUUAGAGGAAGGAGAAGUCGUAACA
RNAcentral lists this ribosomal RNA (324 nucleotides) under uncultured eukaryote. RNAcentral's name for it is "partial 18S ribosomal RNA". It matches the Rfam family "Eukaryotic small subunit ribosomal RNA", at positions 1470 to 1796 of the family's 1831-position model. The record is from RNAcentral.